This 20-nucleotide microRNA is filed under the name Macaca mulatta (Rhesus monkey). RNAcentral describes it as "mml-miR-562". Its record names the gene mml-miR-562. The record is from miRBase by way of RNAcentral. Lineage: Eukaryota; Metazoa; Chordata; Mammalia; Primates; Cercopithecidae. RNAcentral also lists the same sequence under 3 other names.
AAAGUAGCUGUACCAUUUGC